GACGAACGCUGGCGGCGUGCUUAACACAUGCAAGUCGAACGGAAAGGCCCUGCUUUUGUGGGGUGCUCGAGUGGCGAACGGGUGAGUAACACGUGAGUAACCUGCCCUUGACUUUGGGAUAACUUCAGGAAACUGGGGCUAAUACCGGAUAGGAGCUCCUGCUGCAUGGUGGGGGUUGGAAAGUUUCGGCGGUUGGGGAUGGACUCGCGGCUUAUCAGCUUGUUGGUGGGGUAGUGGCUUACCAAGGCUUUGACGGGUAGCCGGCCUGAGAGGGUGACCGGCGACAUUGGGACUGAGAUACGGCCCAGACUCCUACGGGAGGCAGCAGUGGGGAAUAUUGCACAAUGGGCGGAAGCCUGAUGCAGCAACGCCGCGUGCGGGAUGACGGCCUGCGGGUUGUAAACCGCUUUCGCCUGUGACGAAGCGUGAGUGACGGUAAUGGGUAAAGAAGCACCGGCUAACUACGUG
RNAcentral lists this ribosomal RNA (468 nucleotides) under uncultured bacterium. Its description in RNAcentral is "partial 16S ribosomal RNA". It matches the Rfam family "Bacterial small subunit ribosomal RNA", at positions 28 to 507 of the family's 1533-position model. The record is from RNAcentral.